AAUAAAUUUACACGAAAGAGGUCCAAAAACAACAAACAUAAAAUAUAGAUAUGGACCACAAUAUACAACCCAACAGAAAGUUGUGAGCCCAAAGAAAAAGAAAAAAGCGAAGAAACAUGGACAACUUGCAUCCACCGCCGCCUUCUUUGGAAAGAUCCCAUCCAACCAACGUAAACCAGUCACCAGAAAUUAAGCCAUCCAAAGCUUCAGAAGCGGAGAAAAAUAAAAUUUCAACAUCUUCUAAGGAGCACCCUGCAGAUCUGCACCACAAACCGAAGGAAGCUUGUAGGGAAAAAAACUACAAGCAACAGUGCCAAUGCGGGGCAACUGAGGAACAGAGGUGGUGAAAGCACACGAGAAAAUCCGAAGCUCUACACACCUUCCCGUGAAUUGCAGUCAGUUAUCGAUAAAACUAGUAAUCAUAAGCUAACGAGGCUCUUGAGAUAGAGGUUUCGGAGACUGCCUUUAGUGGUCAGAAGAUUGGAGGGCUGGGAUGAUUGUUCAAAUUACUGGGUUUCUUCUGGCUAGUUACCUUGGGAUGUAAUGGAUGAUUUGACGAAGAGAUGUUUGGUGAAGAAUGGGAAGACGAUAACAGUACGAAGGACGUAGAAAUGACGCUCCAUGAUGGUUUUUAUCUCGAUAAUGGUGGGUUCGAUUGGCUCCGAUCUCUUUGAAUUUUCUUGAUGGAGUUCCGGAGGAGGUUAGAGAUUCAACCACCUGUAACCUGGUGUAAGAAGUGUUCUUUUUCCUACUAAUUAUCUGCCAUUAAUAAUCGGCAUUAAACUUCCAUGUGUGAGAUGUUUGUGCAUCAAUGCAAGUGGAACCUGUCUAACCAAGAAACUAAAAACAAAAUAGUUAUCAAAGUUUGAACCCACGGCUAGUCAUGGAGGAACUAGGACGUAGGGGCCAAAGUUCAUGAAAUGAUCAGGUUUUGAAGCGUCAGUUAGAAACCGAUGGCAUUACAUGAGACCAAGUUGAUCCGGGAAACCAGAAACAUGUACCUUGUGACACGAAAUCGGAUUGAUUUCGCAAUUGACAAUUACAGAACACGAGCGAGGAGAAA
Long non-coding RNA from Pyrus x bretschneideri (Chinese white pear), 1063 nucleotides. RefSeq lists it as uncharacterized. NCBI's taxonomy places the organism in Eukaryota, Viridiplantae, Streptophyta, Magnoliopsida, Rosales, Rosaceae. The transcript has 2 exons. The record is from RefSeq and is a predicted model, not a curated record.